RNAcentral lists this ribosomal RNA (462 nucleotides) under uncultured bacterium. Its description in RNAcentral is "partial 16S ribosomal RNA". It matches the Rfam family "Bacterial small subunit ribosomal RNA", at positions 29 to 507 of the family's 1533-position model. The record is from RNAcentral.
AACAAACGCUGGCGGCGUGCCUAAUACAUGCAAGUCGAACGGGGAAAGCUUUCGGGUGAGUACUAGUGGCGCACGGGUGAGGAACGCGUGGAUAAUCUGCCUUAGAGUGGGGGAUAACUAGUCGAAAGAUUAGCUAAUACCGCAUAAGACCACGAGAGCUGCGGCUUUUGAGGUCAAAGGUUUUUCGCUCUAAGAUGAGUCCGCGUAAGAUUAGCUAGUUGGUGAGGUAACGGCUCACCAAGGCGACGAUCUUUAACUGGUCUGAGAGGAUGAUCAGUCACACGGGAACUGAGACACGGUCCAGACUCCUACGGGAGGCAGCAGUAGGGAAUAUUGCACAAUGGAGGAAACUCUGAUGCAGCGACGCCGCGUGAGGGAUGAAGGCCUUCGGGUCGUAAAGCUCUGUCGCAGGGGAAUAACACAAUGAAGGUACCCUGUAAGAAAGGAUCGGCUAACUUCGUG